UAUAAAGUGGCGAACGGCUGAGUAACACGUGGGCAACCUGCCCUUUGCACUGGGAUAGCCUCGGGAAACCGAGGUUAAUACCGGAUACUCCAUAUUUGUCGCAUGGCGAAUAUGGGAAAGCUCCGGCGGCAAAGGAUGGGCCCGCGGCCUGUUAGCUAGUUGGUGGGGUAGUGGCCUACCAAGGCAAUGAUGGGUAGCCGGGUUGAGAGACCGACCGGCCAGAUUGGGACUGAGACACGGCCCAGACUCCUACGGGAGGCAGCAGUC
This 267-nucleotide ribosomal RNA is filed under the name uncultured Atopobium sp. RNAcentral's name for it is "partial 16S ribosomal RNA". It matches the Rfam family "Bacterial small subunit ribosomal RNA", at positions 89 to 355 of the family's 1533-position model. The record is from RNAcentral. Lineage: Bacteria; Bacillati; Actinomycetota; Coriobacteriia; Coriobacteriales; Atopobiaceae.